GUUUGAGGUAGAACCUGCCUAUGGUGAUCUUCCUAAAGGACUGUUUGCAGGGCAUUUUCACAAUGAAGACAUGGAAGUUCAUGCUUGGUCAAAAAUCAAAGGCGUAGGACACUAUCGUUGGUUAUAAGGACUAAUGAACUACUUGUUGCACGAACAACAAUUGGAGUAUAUUGCAGACACUAUGCGACAAAUUUUCAACUUCUUACAUUGGUACUGACUCGCAAUAAGAGUGCUUCUCAGAGACCUCGAAGCUAAAGGAGGGGGGGUGAUGUCAAGGACAUACACUAGGAAGUUGUAGAAGAUUCUAGAAGGUUCUAGAGAAGCUUUGUAGUUUGUAGAAGCUACUUGAAAAGUUUUCAAGCUCGUGGAAGCUGCUUAAGAAGCUUCCUAGCUUGUAGUAUAUAUAGGAGCCGAGACUGAGAGAAUCCUCAGUCUCGACAACACACCUCUUGGAGCUCUAGCUCACCUCUUUAGUGUUGUUCUUGUACUCAUCUCAUUUAUCUAGUUCUUGCCAAUUCUUCUUCAGCUUCUUGUUUAGAUUUCCAGUCAGUAUUCUAAAUUCGUGACACCUAAUAGCAUUAUAAAAGUAGAUUUCAUAUGAUUAAUAAUGCAAAUUUUAUUUUUUACAAUUACAAACUUUAAAAUAAGUUUUUUUUCAUAUGUUAUCUCUAGUGUGCCAUUUUUCUGGUGUUUAAAAAAUUAACAAGAAAAAAAAAAUGAAAACUAAAGACAUAUUUCUACUCAAUGUUAUGAGACAAAAAAUAAAAUAAAAUAAAAGUAAAAGAAUAAAAUCUUUUUAUCAAAUAUGUGUUUGUAAUAAGAUUAAAACAAAAAUAAAAUGAAAUAAGGAGAAAAAAAAAAAAAAAAAAAAAAAAAAAAAAAACAGUAUUGUUUAUAAUGUUGGGAAGAUAAGCAGUGAUUGAGUGGUAAUGGUCUAACUCUAAGAAAAAUCAGUUCAGAAUCUAUUUGCUAGUGCAACAACAUAGCUUAUAAAUGACAGAAUACUCUGAGUUUAUAUACCUACAUUUGCCCUCUCACAGGUCAUAUGAUUGCAAAAACACAGAGCUACAUGGAAUUACCAAGUUCUAUUUAGUCAUUGAUUUUAAGCGGCGUUCCAGACAUCAUUUGAGGUCCAUUUAACUAGGAUUGACGUGCUUAAGAUCUUCUAAAGCUGAUAAGUACUACUGAGACAAGUUCCUGAUUCUCCUCUGAAGCCGAUAUAUUACAGCAGGAUCUGACUUCACGGCAAAUUCUGCGAGGCAAUGAUCAUGCCAGUUUGAUAUUUAAUCUUCAAUGCAGCGAAGAAGUACUGGAAUGACCAACUCCGGAGAGCUCAGUUGAGGUAUGUGACCCUCAGUUUGUAAAAUACGAAUGGAUGUCCACCCACCCAAGUUGCUGUUCAAGUACUCCGCCACUUCGACUGGAACGGCCAAGUCUUUCAUACUUUGAAGUAUGUGGCAAGGCACUGUAACCUGCAUGCAGAUCAACCAAAGGGUCAUUUCUAUUAUCAUGAAAUCUUCACGUUCACAGCACAACUGUUAGUAAAAUAGCUAUUUAUUUAACAUAGGAAAGAUAACAUAGUGCCAAUCAGACAACAUAGCAAAUCCCCAAUGGAGUAAAAUAUCGAAGCCAUGCAAAUUAAUGUGCAAGUCUAAGGUUGUCAUGCCUGCGGUAAUAUGCUUCGGAGAUCGCUUUGGAAUAUGAUUUGAGAGAUGCUGAAGGCGAUGUCUGGUCUCAUGGAGGAUAAUGUUCGAGAGAAAUCUUGCACUGCUCUAUUGUCAAUGUGGGCACCUAGAGCAGCUGGCGCAAACCCCGAUACCCACGUUCUGAAAUUGGAUUUCAUGUUGGCAUACAUUUGGUCAAGGUCAUGCUGCUCAAAUCCUCCAUGGUAGUUCGUAUCAUUCAAGUACCUGCCACAGAAAGAUUGAGCCACAGCAGUUUCAUGAUGCCUGAGACAGUCCCCGCACAAAAAAUUGAUACAACUCAUUCAAUGUUUGACAAUGUCGGUGAAGGGGUCACUGCAUUGGCACAAUACCUUGGAGAUGCCCCCAAAAGAAUGAGUUUUUGAAAAAUAUCUGGCUUUUCAAGAGAUGCAAGGCAACCUAUCAUCCCUGAAAUGGAGUGUCCUACGUACACGCAGCUCUCGAUCUCAAGCUCGUCUAGAAUUGCCAGUAGAUCAUCAGCAAAUGACUGAAGAGAAGUGUAUCUCUUGAAGCUGAAAUUAUUUGCAUCAGUUGUGCUGGCUCCCAUCAAGUCGUAUAGGACGACUCUGAAGUUAUUGCUCAACAGAGACGGCACUACAUACUUCCACAUAGAUUGGUCAGAUCCAAACCCAUGCCCCAGAACCACAACUUGGUCGCCGUUGCCCAGAACACUCAGAUUGUGGGCAGCUAACAAGGACUCGGACACCACCAUUCUUUUAAAAUUGCAGCGAUCGGCGGCUGUCAAAAAUUAGAUUACUCUGUUCAGAUUUGCUGACAAAACCAUGUAAUUCGACUCCUACCACAAUAGAUGCCAUACACACAUAAAUAUCUGUGAUUACAUUUCACAAGAUGGAAUCCGUCUGCAUGUAGCAGCUGGAGCCGAUUGAUGUUCGGCAAACUUUAGUAAAAGUAUCCAGAAACUGUUUAACAAGCAGCCAGAAACUCUGCAGUUGUUUCAGUCCCAAUGGUCUAUUGAGAAACAGGUUUUCAUGUAAGUUAAGUAAUAUUCCUUCCCUACUACAAAGAGAGCUUUUCAGUAUGACAUAUUUUGCGCCGUCAGAGUCUCUUGCCAAGAGAGUUACUUGCAAAACUAUUUCGGCUGACGUACUCUACAGUCAUUAAAGGGCAACUACGUCAAAAGUCGAAUGUGAAGUCAAUUAGCACACAAACACCGCUUACACAGAACAGUUACUGGUAUGAUAGACCGGCAAUAAAGCGUGCGUAUGACCAAAGAACCACGCAAUCUACCGUAAGCUACUUCGACAUUUGGUUCAGCACAUACCGCGCUUGAAGUUGUCCCAGUUGCACGGAAAAGCUUCAAAAUAAUCUCCAAUGGAAUCUUCAGAAAGUUUUAGUAUUUUCAGCGGUUGUUCAGAGUAAUAAAGCGCCUUGCUCAUGAACAAAAGAAGUCAAGCAUUUCGCUAUUAGAAGUCCCCCAAGAACCUAAGCUACAGAUUACUUGGAAAGUUUUUGUAACAUAAAACCAACUACAAUCGACUGCAGUUGUCGAGGGUAAUUGAUUUUCUUGCGAAGUCACACGACCAAGCAGAAGAUCUACUAGAUCGUUCUUGGAUUGACCUUCCCUUGAAUGUAGUUGAUACUGCAGAAGACAUACAUCUCAAACUUUAGAGAACUCAACUAUACUAAAUCAACUCGCAUGGGGCAGCCAUUGCAGAUAUGUGUAUACAAUGAUAAUUAAACAACCUUCCUGCAGUUUUCACUUAGGAAUGUAUAAACUCAAUCUAUAGGAGCCAUCCGGAUACUCAGAAUUCACGAAGCUUGUGUCAUUACAUACUUUCACAAAGAUAGAAAACCAAAUUACAUUGCCUCCGACCAGAGAUUCAAGAGGGGGUGAGCUCAUAAUAAAUAUUACGAGUUUAUGCGCAGUUCAUAAUAAUAAAUAAAAAGAUAAACUAAAACUGGAUCACAUACCAGGUGAGUUUGUAAUUGACUGGCGAUGAAGCGGACGACGCAGAGCUAUUCCUUAAAGACAGGGAAGUGGUACAAUGGAUGAGUCCUCGUGGCAACAAAGAUGGUGGCUACGAUAAGGUACCAAGGAAGAUCGUUACGCAGGGCAAGAAGAGCGAAUGCAAAUGCAAUGAAACAAUGAUAUCCUAGCUUCUGUUAUAGAGGAGUGAAAGGUGAUCGCCGAAGGAUAAAAUAUGCGUGUAGUGCGGAAUCGAAAAAGUCAAGUAGAAAAUUAUUCUAUAUUAUGGUUCCUUUACAGAAGGCUUGCGAAAAGUUAUCAUUCCGCCUUUUCAGUCUUCAUGCCAACACUUCAGAGUACUCAGAAAUAAUAAUUGCUCGAAAUCCCCUCCCAAUCGACUUUGCAGUUUAAUUAACCUUUCCACUACCAGCAGCUUGUCCUCUGUAAAAUGUAAUUUCGACGUUUUCUCCAUCUCGUGCAGGAUGCAUGACCUGCUCGCAGAGGUUUCCAACCAGAGGCUCUCCAGAACCGCCUUCCACUCGAUUCGAUCCACAUUUCCGCAAAAUUGGAUAAAGACCUCAUGCUUGGGAAUACAAAAAAAUCCAACGAAGUGCCGUGGAUCGCAGUUGGACCAAGAAACCAUGCCAUCGACACCUCAUCGGCUCCCUUUCCUCAUGAACCAUCACUAAUUCUUCCAGCUGAUAGAAUGCAAUUCGAUCCAAUACACAUCAGCCUAACAAUUGUUACCGCAUGGCAAGCAAAAACUCAUUUCUAUAGACUGUCGUGUAUCUCUGACGCUAGCGCCUCCUUUCACGCCACUCAGUGGACCCGCCAACGAUGAAACGGGGAGCAUAGGAGCAAAUGAAUAAGACGAAAUACUGCUUUCCUCUCUAUGGUAGCCCUGCCAAACCUACGGCGGGAAAAAAGCUAUUUCCUCUUUAAGGGAACGAUUUCAAUGGAUUGGUUCGAAUGUUAGCAUCGGGGGAACGAUUUGCGAGGCCAUCUCCUGGCAGAGCAGAUCCGUUGGCCGAGCGAAUCCGUUCAUAAAGUUCGUUGAUUUUGCUUCUCCAGCUCAUUAUUGGACUAGGACCUCAAAGCGUAGGCCGUGCAUCUUCCACGGUGAAACAAGUCCGCAGACUACUUACGCUGUAGAAGAUAACAAAUUUAAUAUAAAAAAAUUGAAAAUUCUAUUGUAAAAACUUUUAAAUUAUUGUUCUAAAAUUCUUUUUUGUAACAUGUUUUUAAAAUAUAUAAACUUUUAUGUGUAUUUAUUUUAAAAUGGUAAUGCAAAUUUAAUUAUUUAUUUAAUUUAGUAUGUAGGUAUAUAUAUAUAUAUAUAUAUAUAUCAAUUUUUUCAAUUAAGCAAUUUUACUUUAUCUAUUUUUUUAAAUACUAAAAAAUAAAUCACUUAUAUUGAAUUUAUAAAACAAACGUGAAAUACCAAGAUAAUCUUUAAUUAUGUUAGUUUUUUUAAAAAAUUUAGUUGAAAUUGAACCUCUAAGGUUGAUUAGAAUUUAAUAAGAUUAUUCAAUUUGUAUGAAAAAUUAUUAAAUAUAAUAAUAUUCUUUUUAAAAAUUUAUUUUUUUAAAUAGAGCAUAAAAUAAUCUAUACAUGAUUAAGGUAUAAAAUCAUAUCCUUAAAAGUUUAUCUAGUUGUUGAGAUUUCAUUCUGGCUUAGUUAUGUGUGUGUAUAUAUAUAUAUAUAUAUAUAUAUAUGUAUUACUAAAAGUUUUAUAAAGCUUUAGAUGGUUUAUUCCUUACUUGAUUUGUGCUAAUUUUAAAUAAUGUUUUUAUUUGUUUUUUUUGUAUAAUCUUGUUUUGAUGUAAAAAAAUAUUAGAAAAAAUAUAUAUAUAUCUAUAUAUAUAUCUAUAUAUAUAUAUAUAUAUAUAUAUAUAUAUAUAUUUUUAAUGCAAUUAGAAGAAUCAAUAAAAAAUCCUUAGAUACAAUAAAAUAAAUUUUAUUUAAAAUAUAAACAAAAACCAAUAAAUAAAUAAAUAUACAUAUACCUUUGAAACAAAAAAUUAUAUCAAAAUAAUGUUCUAUGUCAAUACAAAUAAAAACCAUGAUUGAUUAAACUUAUAAUGUUAAUACAUUUUAACAUGAAAUAAUUUAAUGUUAUUAAAUUAAUUAAUUAAAAUAAGGGAAUUGUUAAAUUAACCUAUGCAUUUACUAAACUGAUCCACCUAGCAUCAUUAGUUACAAAUCCAACUAUUGUUUUAGUGGUUUUCAAUCAAUACAGAGCUAAUAGUAGGAAAUUUUUGGAUGAUGGUUAGGAUGGGUGGAUUGAUUUAGUAAGAAUGUGAAAUUAUAAUUUUAAAUCAUAACAUAUAAAUUAUUAGACAAACACAUGUUUGUGUAAAGGUUAGUUAUUAAUAUAUACAAAUGUAAAUAUAAAAUUUUAUUGUAGAAUUUCAAAACUUGUAGCAUAAAUUGUUACAAAAUUAAUUAUUUAUUUGUAAUAAUUAAACAAUACAAAUUGAUUUAAUUUUUUAUUUUAGAUAUAUUAUUUUGAUUAUUAGAUAAUAUUAAUUAAAUAAUAAACUGUUAUAAUUUUCUCAAUCAAUAAAUACUUUUUUGUUUAUUGGCUCUAAAGAUAAAUCUUAAAAGUUUAGAAAUGAAAAUUAAAUUCUAAAAUUUAAAUUCUAAAUUCAAAUUGUAAAAUCUUAUAUAUGAUAUUAAACCCACAUCUAAAUAUUUUACUUUGACACUUGUGGCACAAAUAUGCAACAAUAAAUUUCAAAAUACUUGAAACGAAAUUGAUUAAACAUUGUAAAAAUCGUAAGAAAUUUUUAUUUUUAUUUGUUUGAUUUCUUCUUAUUCCUGUAUCAAUGAUUCUAAAGCACUAAAUAUAGAUCUUGUCAAGAAAGAAGAAAAAGAGCACCACAUAAGAUUGGAUUUGUAAUCUUUUUAAAUAAAUAGUUUAUUGAACUUUAUCCUGUUUUGUUUAUUUAAUCAUUUAUGAGGUUACAUAAUAGCAAAACAUGUUUCUGCAAAGAACAUCUUCUUUUCCAUUGAUGUAUUCUUUGACAAACUAAUAUUUUUUUCUUUAAACCAUUGUAAUUAAUAUCACCACAAUCUUUCUCCAUCCUUUUCUUUUUCAUAAUCUUAUUUACUUGAAGAAUUUAAUAUUUGUGGCAUUUGAGCAUAUUCUAAUUUUCAAUAUUAACAAUUAAUAGAGCUAAAAACAUUAUAAUAGAUUGCAAACAAUAUGUAGUAUUCUUAUUUUAUAUAUAUAUAUAUAUAUAUAUAUAUUGGUUUCUUUAAAAUCAUUUACAAUAAGAUGAAUGAAAUUAAAAUUAAAAGCUAUUUUGACAAUGUUUAAAGCUUUAAAGUUAGAAAUUAAUUUUUUACUUAAAUAUUACCAUGAUCUUUUUAUUGUCUACUUUUACUUUUUGAAAAACUUCAACACAAAAAUGUUUCAUUUGUCAAAAAAUCUUAAUAAAUUCAGACGUUUAAAGAAAGAAUCAGGUUUUUUGAAAAUUGAUUAUUGAAUAUGAUAACAUUGUUUUAGUAGUGUGUAAAUAAGAACUAAGAUAUUUAUUUCAAACUUGUUAUGAAACAUUAUGUGUGAUGGAGACGGACAUUGUAUGCAACUAAUAUUGCAAUCAAAAUCAAACAAUUUUACCAAAAACUGAAGUCCCCCAAAAAAAUUCUAUGUAUAUAUACAUGUUUACUUAUUUAUUAAACCAAUGUUUGCACACUUUCUGGAGUUCAUUCUUCAACCCACCUGUUAGAUGUGCAACUGUCUUUGCCUAUUUCAACCUCAAAAAACUAUUCAUGCGUCAAACAACCAAUGCAGUAAUGAAGACACUGGAAAGGCCAAAGCUCCCUAUACGAUUAGGUUUAAAACUUAGGGUUAAAAACUCAGCUACAGACACAGAUUAUGAGACUUCCACCCAAAUCGAAGUGUCACUGGAUCUCUCCACAAAAUGAUUUUGACAUGGGUUUUGCCGAAGUUCAGAACAUGCAUCAAUUCAGUUCUCAACCACUGAAAUCCUCAGAGAAGAUUGUUUUUUUUUUUGUUUUUUUGUUAUUGUUGGUGUUUUUGUGUUUAGGGUUUGCUCACCUUGUGAAGGUAGCCGUGUCGAUGGCCAGGUCUUGAGUGUGCCCUCUUGCUUGCAGUAGAUGAAUUGCCGCUUCAGUGAGCGUAGAGGUUUUGAGGAAUCUGAAGCAACAACGAGAGGUUGUGAGACAAAGCCCCAGGAGACGAUCCCUUCUUCAUUUCACAUGGAUAGCAUUACGGAGAAAUCCCUGGCCCUGCUUCACUGAUUGACCAUGGCGCUCACUUUUUGGGGUCGUUGCUCGUGCUUAAAGACCUCACUUCAAGUGACAGAAGUUGGUCCCACUCCCUCCAACGCACUUUGAUCGCAGCUAUUAGUGGGGGUUUCAAUGUGGCCGUCAUCAGCGCUAGUUUCGGAGGACGAAGUCUUGGUGCUGUAUUGUCGAGAUUGAUGUUGGUUCUCCUUGUGGGCGCCUGGAUAUCUCAUCAACUUUCUACUUCUGUGUGGUAUUGGAGUGUCGGGGCUUUACAGAUUGAGUAUUGGGUUUCCGGGGUUUUCCACAUUUCCUGGACUUGGUGUUGAAGUGUGGAUGGGAUUUACUUUCCUUACAGCUGGCGUGCGAGAUUGGAGCCACUGUUGUUCUGUGUUAUUGCAGCAUCCCAAGGAGUACUCAUUGCGGGGCUCCUCUUUAUGCUUUCCGCUUGGAUAUCCACGUGCAUGAUCUACUGAUUUGGCCUGGUUCACGAGAUUUGUAGGCCAUACGCGAAGCCUCCGAUUCAUUGCCGAAGCAUUUUCACACUUUAUUCUGGGAAUUCCUUUUCAGGCUCGGCCUAAAGCCCAUGAACUUUGCAUACAUCACUGUGAUGAAACAUCUUAAAGAUUGCAAAGCGAAAUUCUUGCGUGGAUACCUUUAAGAAUGUGGUGAGAUGUGGUGUAGCAACGCUAUACGGAGGUACACUUGAUAAAUCUGUGUGAUCUGAGUUUCCGUUUUAUUCCUUGAAUACUUCUCGAAUUACAUUCCCGUCUUUUAACGAACCAAUAGGCACAAAAAUGAAGUCCUUUCAAUACUGCAAAAAAUGCUACUGAACGUGGAUAAAAUACGGCUACUAGGUGAAUAUCUUCACAACCACGAGAUGUUUGAAACACAGGUUAGGCUGGAUUGGGAUCGAUGAAGGGAUAUGACACCAAUUGCAACCAACAACUGCUUGAAUUUUGAUCUUUUUGCAGUUUGAAUCUAAUGUAUAAAACACCACCAAGGAAGGCUGAAAAGAAAGUUAUGCCUCUGAACAUUCAGACAAUAGCAGUAGCUAAAUCCAUCCUUCACAAAUCCUCUCUAGCUUGAAUUGUGUUCUCACAAAACCUACAGCUGGUGGCAGAGAGAAGUCCACCUUUUUAAGGCAAAGACCAUGAACAUAGUAAAAUCAACCCUCUAAACCAAGAAACAUCGGAAUCAAAACCGUGCCAUUCACUAAACAAAUCAGUGGAUGCAGCCACUGUGCAUACCACAGCUGAGUCCCAAGGACAAGACAAGCACAAGGCCACGAUGCAUGAAAGACUCCAAUGAAAGUCACCCACACAAAUACAUGUUUGGCAUUGUCCUUAAUACUACAAAAGUGAGGAUCUCACUAAGUAUUAAACAUGUAACUCCCUUUUCUGGAUGCUUAUGAUCAUGUGGAUGUGUAUCUCCAUGUUGGGUGUUUCAUAGACACAUGGAGCUAUGUAUAUAUCUACAUGAUUCUAGAUAAUAAUGAUGUAUUCUAUCUCCAUGUUGUCAAAUCCACCAGACUAGUAAGACAUGUAAAUAUUAUCAACAAUGAUUACAGUGGUAUUCUAAGGUAACACCCUCUGAAAAAAUAACUAUGUCCAGAACGGCCAGUGAUAAUUUUUUAUAAUUAUUCAUGCAUUAUAUACAAAUAUUUCCAAUAAAUAAGUGCUUGUAAUAAAAAAUAAUUAAUCAUUUUUCCUUGCAUUUUUUAAAUUAAAAAAAAUAAUUAAAAUUUAAUUUAUAAAAAUACUUUUUAUCUUUAUCUUUAUUUUUAUUUUUAAGAUUAGGUGAUUAUUUCAUAUUACCAAUUAUUUUUUAUUAAAGUUUUAUAGAAUAAGGAAAAAGCUUUUAUAAAUGAAUAGAUAUGAUUUCUUUGCUUAUAAGUAAUUUGACUAUAUCUUAAAAGUUUCAAGUUUUAAAAUUUGAAACUUGAAAAUUCAAUUUAAAGUUUAAUCUAAUGUUAGUUAUACAAUUAUAUUCAAAUACAUUAAAUUCAAAUAGUUUUUGUAAAUUUGAAUUAGAUAUAAUACUAAUUUUUUAUGAUUAAUUUUUUAUUUUAUUUUAUUAAAACCAUCUUUAUGAUUUUAAGUAAAAAAUAAUUAGAGUUUAUUUUUUAGUAUUUUAAUAUUUCAAACUGAUACAUAUAUAUAUAUAUAUAUAUAUAUAUAGAUAUAUAUAUAGAUAUAUAUAAAUUUACAUAUAUAUAAAUUUAAUGUGAAAAAAAUAAUAUCAAUCUUUUCAAUUUGAACGUUUAAACAUCUCCUAUGAAGAAAUUACAAAAUAAAAUAUAUAUCCUACUAGAAUUAUUAGUCUUUAUAAUUAUUUUUAUACAAAUACUUCUAAUCUUUAAUAGAGUGUAAUUUCAUGUUAAUAAAUAUGUUAUAUCUAAAAAUCAAUUAUAAGAUUUGUGAUUUAAAUCUAAUAUUAAGUUUUAUCUACAAUAAUAAAGUAUGAAACUAACAUUAUAAAUAAGAAUGUAUAAUACCUACAUUAGAUAAUUUAUUCAAAAAUAUAAAAAAUAUAUAUUUAUAUAAUUUUAAGUAGAGAAUGAAAAAUCAACUCAAUGUAUAAAAUAAUUAUUAGUAAGCCAAAAAUACUUUCAAUUGAAUUUAAUAAAACUUUCUUUAUCAUAAAAAUUUAAUGCAACUUCAAUAUUUAUAUUAUUUUCAAAUCAAAUUAUUUAAUAAUUAUUAUUUAAUUACUUUGAUAGAAUUUUUAUUUUUAAAUAAAAUUAAUAUCUAAAUAUAUUAAUUAUAUAAGAUUUCUUAAUGUUAAGAACAUAAAUUAUCAUAAAAAUCUUAAGAAGCAAUACAUUCUUGUAAUAUUCAUAAUAAGAAAGUAGAAAUAUUAAAGUUAGAUAUAAGAUAGAAAUUAGGAUGACUAUUACCAAAUACAAAGAGACUAGAGAUUCUUGAGCUAAGAUAAGAAUACAAAAAAAACAUUGAAAGGAGUGAAAAAAGUCUCAUCAUUGCUUCUAUGCAUAUUAUUUAACUAAGAACCUAUAUGUUAAUAUUCUUUAGUUCAUUUGAUAUGUGUGCAACUUGUGAGACACAAAUUUAACUUGAAAGGCAUGUUUUCAACAUAUACACCAAAUUAUAUUCAAUACUAAUAUAAAAAAAAUAUUUUUUUCCAAUUGGAAAAUUUCUCAAGAUUACAAAAACUCUUACUAAUUCUAAAAAUCAAAUAUCCAAGAUCCUAAAACAUGGUUGAUGAGCUUGCUUCUAUAAUUGAUUGGAAUUAUGUAUACACAAAAAUCUAUCUUAAUACUAUGAAGUCUAUUAUACAAAUUGCAAGUAAGCACUAAAGAAGUAAAUAUCAAUAGCAAUUAGGAGGUGAGCUUAGAAGUAGGCAUCAUUUGAAGAAAGCAUAAUAGUUUACUAGUCUAGCUUUAUAAUACUAUAAAUUUUCACUUGGUGGAAUCAUUAAAAAUAUACUUUUGAAUUAUUUAAAUUAAAAAUAUUAAGAUUAUAAAAAAAAUAUCAUUUAAUUAUUUAUUAGAAUUUAAAAAAAUUUAUAAGGUACAAGAAUCUUAUAAGAAGAAUAGUUAUAAAAAUGGAGUAUUAAUAAAUCUUAGAAGCAAUUAUCUUGAUUGGUUUAGUAUUUUUACUUAUUUUUGAGUGAUAAUGGCUAAUUAUUGAGAUAAAUUUCUAAGUUAACCUUCUAUCUAUAUGUAUUACUUGUAAAGAUAUCUAUAAAUAUUAGUUAGUAGUUAAAAGAAGCAUAAGAAAGAAUAUCAUGUCUUUUUAAUUAUUUUUCCUACGAAUAGAAUUUUUAGUUGAUUUAAAUUGAUAUUAUUAUUAUAAAAAGUAAUCAAGGAAGAAAAAUAUAUUCUUAAAUUGAUAUUAUAAUUAUUAAAAUAUUAUAUAAAUAUUUUAAAAUUAUUUAGAAUUAUUUCAAAAAACUUAGAAAUUUUUUUAAGACUUUGAUAAAAUUAAGUUUUACCACCUUGGGAGCUAUUAUGAAGAAAUGGAGCAAGAUUUGAAGGCCAUACAAUGAUUUUAGGUUAAUUGGAUGUUUUUAAACACCAUAAUAAAGUAAAAAAUGUAAAAAAAUAGUCCUACUAGUAAAAAAUAAGAGGACCAAAUCCUAUAUGGAUUGUAGUACCUUGAAUAUAAUUAGGAAGAUAAGACUAAGGCCUUGAGGCCUCUAUAGGACCCUAGAUGCACUAUAUAUGAGCUUUAGUGAGGUUCAAAUGCUUGAUCUAUAAAUAAUAUAAUCUUGAAAUAAAAUAUUUUUACUUAAUUUUUUAAUUAUUACUUAUUAUCUUUAAACGUUCAUAACUUAAUCAUUGAAAGUUAGAUUUAUAUAUUUUUUAAGUCAUUAAAAAGAUAAUAAAAUUUUCUUUUAAAAAAUAUAUUUUUUUAAACAAUAUAAUUUAUUUUUAAAAAAAUAUAAAUUUUAUUUUUCACUUUUUAUUUUUUAUUAAAUAAAAACCUAGCAAAUAGUUUGUAACUUAGUUUUGAAGUGUGUAAUUACUUGAAUAAAAUUCUUUUAUUAGUUUUAUGAUUUUUAUUCUUUUUUUCUUGUUAUUUUCUUAUCUCACUCUAUUAACUCAUCUUUACAUGAUGUGAUAUUCUUUUAGUACAUGCAAAUAGCAUUGUCGCUAGAUUAGCUAGCAAAGAUUGUUAUACUCUAUGUACUUUUGUAAAAAACUCCUAUUUGUUUUAACUUGCUCGGAGUAAAGAUGGGUCUAACUUUGUAGGUUUAAAGAAUUGAAGCAUGAGUGUAAAUAAUCAAGAAUAGAAUUUUGAAGGCCAAACUAAUAUGUAAUUUGAAAUGACAAUCACGUCCUUGUGCAUUUGUCAGUAAAGAUUAUUAUCUUAGCAUAACUUGCAUCCUUUGAAAAGAUUAUUUUCCUUCAAAAAGUUGUACAUACAUCUUUUGGAAAGUUAUUGCAAAGUAAAGCAACUAUAUAGUUGAUUCAUUUUGCUUUAUAGUAUAUAAUAUGUAUUUUUUUGGAUUCUAUGUUUUUGACUCCUACUUCCAAAAAUUUAUAUAAGUUUAGCAUGUUUUUACUUUGUUGUUUUUGUGUAUAUUAUAAUGAAAGUUGCUGCCAAAUAUUUAUGUUACAGGUGAAUGAAUCACAUUUGUUAAUCUUACUUGCCUUGUUUGAGGUAACAAAAAAUAGUCUUAAACAAUGGUGAGUAAAUCAAAUUAUAAAAAAAAAAAAAAAAAAAAAAAAAAAAAAAAAACCUUUUAUGUAAUAAAAAAAUAAUAAAUUAUUUAUAUUAAUAUUGACAUGAAAUAACAAAUAUGAGUUAGGAAUAGACGAUCAACCACUCAACUAAAGACUGCAAAUGAUUCUUGAAGUUGAAAAUACAUGACUUAUUCAAGUCACUUAUAGUGGCAAUUAUUCUGCCACCAUAUCUAUUGUGUCUUCUAUAUCAUUGUUAUAGUAUUUUGGAUGUUGAAACUUAUGUAUGGUUGGAUGAAUUGAGUGCAUGCUUUAUUUAUUCUUAAAAUUUUAUAUUUAUAUUUGAUCAUCCAAUUGCAUAUAUAGUAUUUGUGUUUAUUAUUGUUUUCAAAUUAUUGAAUUAGAAGAUGUUAUAAUGAUUAUUAUGGUCUAGUGUCUUUUUAUUACCUCAUUUUUUUAAUCAAGAAUUGGCAAAAGACAGAGACGUAUUGACUUGAAACCACAAUUGAUCACAAAUAAUUAAAACAUGAUAAUUUAAUAACUGUUAAAGUACUAAAAAUUGUAAAAGCUCUUGAACAAUAGUGAGUAGUUUUGAUAUGAUAUGGAAGAACUAGGAAAACUACCAUUACUAGUACUUAAUGAUUUUCCUUUGAGUUUUUGUAAGAGCAUAGAGCUUUUAAACAUAUUUAAAUGCUUGUCUCUUUUUACUUAAUUUCUUUACCCACUUUACAUUUUUAAUUGAAAGAACUAAAGAACAUUUCUUUAAUUGUAGAAAAUAAAUAUUUUAUAUGACACAAAUGUAUUAUCUAUAGGUAUAAAAGAUCAACAAUAGUAUUUACCAAAUUAUGAACAUAACAAAAAAAAUUCUACAAGCAAUAAACAUACAUGUUAUAUUUACAAUUUAGCUUAUAAUAAACUUCAUGUCAGUUCCAUUAUAAUUUAGUCGCCUUGCCAAAUGUUAUUUAUUAAUUAUUUCAAAUUAUUUUGGUUUCUUUCUAUUGUAGAUUUAAAAAAGUUGUACACACAAAAAAAGAAUCAAGAUUACCAACUUAGUAUUUUUGGGCGUAUGAAUACAAAAAUUACUACUUAUCUUAGUCAAGUUGGAUGCAGAGCCUAAUGAAUUAUUAAAAUCAUCAUGCUUUGUAAUUAUAAUUGUUGCAUGAGUGCAUUACGGCAUGUCUCUAACUCUAGACAUUUGAUAUUAUAGUAAUCAAAGUAAAGGAAUAAAUUAUGCUUGUUAAGAAAACUAGCAACUUGAAUAGGUGACCAUCAAACUCUAAUGACCUUGUAUGAUCUUGUUGAAUUAUAAUUUAUUUAUUUUUCAUGUAAAAAAUUAUAAAUAUAUUCUUUUUUAAUUUUCUUAAUCUUUUUUAAUGUUUACUUGAAAAGAAUCUUGUUUCUUAGGCAUUUCUAGUUGAAUUUAUAUAUUAUGAUUAACUCAUGGUGUAUGAAGCAUUAUGAUAUUAUUCCCUGUAUUAAAGUACUUUUGGAGUACAUUUGAUAUAUAAGAAAAUAUUGUAGUUUUAAUUUUCUAUAAUGAAUGAGAAUUUAACUAUCUUCUAAUCUAAUACUUAAUAAUAACACUACUUUGUAGCAAAUUUUUCUUAUGAAGUUUUUAAAAAACAUAUAUCAAUAUUAUUAUAUAACCUUAUUUAUAACAUUGAAGAAUAGAUUAUGGAUAUUUAUCAUUGUCAUAUCAUAGCUAAGCUUUUGGAUACAUUUCUAAUGUAUAUAUUAAUACUUUUGUGCUUUCUAUUUGGUUCUUAGAUACAAAAACCUUCAUGGUUUAAAAAAUAUAUAUAAUAGUCAUAUUCAAGAUAUUGGUAAUAUUGCUGUAAUAUAAGAUAUUGUUGGAGAUAUUUGGAGACAAUGUAAAGUAUAUGUAAAAUAAAUAAAAUUUGUUUUGAAGGCGAAAGAUAUUCUUAACAAAAAUCAAUGUAUUAAGCAUUCUAAAAGUCUUGAUCAUGGUAUGGAAAUAUUUCAAGAAUUAAUAUAAUAUAGAAGUGAUGAUUUCGAAUGUGGAUUUAUAAUUAGUGAAUUCAUUCUUAUAAUAAGUAAUAUUUAUUUACUAGUAAAUUAUUGUGGUAAAAAAUAUUGGUGUAAAUCAACUAUAUUUCAAUUAAACAUCAAAGAGAAUUUUAAAAAAUUACUUGGAGAUUUGAAGUCUUAUUAUAAUAUUGGAAUUAUUAUGCUUUUGAAUCAUUUAUCAAAAAGAACUCAAAGUGCUUCAUCAAUUAUGUUUGAUAUUAUAAAUUUAAAUGAAGUUGAAGUCAAUAAAAAAAAUUAUAUGAAAGAUUAAAAAAAUACAAAGGAGGAUUUUCAAAAUGAUAAAUUAAUAGAGCAUUUUUUAAAAGAUUGGAGGACUCACAUUACAUAGAAGGUAGAGAAUUAGAUGUAAUGCAAGUUUCAUUUGACAAGAUAAUUCUAAAAAUUAUGGAAUAUAUAAAUUAAAGAGUUCAUGGAGAAGAUUACAAAAUUAGGUGGUUAGGACUUUGAAGUGCAACAAAAGACAUUGAUGUUAUAUUUAAUGUAUAUUUUGACAAAGAAGUGAACACUUUAGGAAGAUUGAGCCAUCCCAACUUCAUAAAAUAUUUUUGUGCUUUAAAAGAUGUUUUCAAAAGUGUUAAAAUAAAGAAAAAUAGAAAGUUAUAUUUAGUCAUGAAAUUAAUGAAAAUAAGCUUGAGUAAUAUGUUGGAGGAAAAAAAUCAAUAUAUUGUAUAUUUGUCAUUGAUGUUAUGCAUCAAAUUGAAUAAGAUUAUUAAAUAUGCUUUUGUUAAACUGAUUGAAUUUGGAAUGUUAAAGAUUGAUGUUGGAAAAGAACCAGAAGCUUUAAAAAAUGAUCUUAUAUAUAUAUAUAUAUAAAUAUAUAUAUGGAACUAUAGCAUACAUAGCUCAUGAGUCUGUCAAAAAAUUAAAUCAAGUAAUAAAAUUGUGUCCUUUUGAAGACAAUAUGUAAUCCUUUGCAAUGAUAUGUUCAAAGAUUCUUUUAAGAAAAGAUCUAUUUCAUAACAUAAAUAAUAAAAAAGUGAGAUUUUAAAACUAGUAGAAAAAGAUAAAAGACCAAAAUUUCCUUCAAAUUUUAAAGAAUCAACUUAAUUGUUAAAAGAAUGUUAGAAUUUAGAUCCUUAACAAUGACCAACAUUUACAAAUAUUUGUAAAAGACUCACCAUGAUUAAGAAGAAGGUUUUGGAAGAAGUUUAUAUUGCAAGAAGACCACUUUUUGGUGCAUCUAAGAAUAGUGUCAAUUAAAAAAUACAACCACAACAAAAACAUAAUAAUGUGUCACUAAUAUUAUUUUAACUAAUGAAUUUGUUGAUUAAAAACAUACAAAAUUUUAUUCAUUUUUUUCUUUUAUAUAUAUGUAUAUAUAUAUAUAUAUAUAUAUAUAUAUAAUAUUUUAUUAAGAUUUUAUAAUAACACCUUUUAAUUCUUUUAUUUACAUAUUGUAUUUUGUCCAUGCAAGUUGAUUUGGAUUUCAAUAAGUUGUUGGGAAGAAAAUAAUGUAGGUUGGAAAUUUCUCAACUAUGCAUGAAAAAAGUUAAAGCAUUAUAUCUAUUUGGUAUGGGAGGAAUUUACAAGAUUAUAAUUGCAUAUGUAUAAUACUUCAUGCUUUGUUGAGAAUAUUCAAUAUAAUGGCAAUUGUUGUGCAACUUCUUGGAAUAUUUUAGAACAAUUCAAAGUGAAAGACAAACCAAAGGAUUUAAAAGAAGUACAAGAAUUGUUGAAAUCCUUUAUUAUACAAAAAAAAAAUUUACUUUGGUAUUAGAUGAUAUAAAAUAUGAAAGUCAAAUUGAAGAUAUUGUGUUGUUAGAUAUCCUAUGUGGUAACAAUGGUAGCACAUUAAUCGUUACAAUACAAGAUUGGAAAGCAAUGAAAGAUUAUUAUACAAAGGUUCAUGUAAUAGAUAUUAAAGGAUUUAACUAAGAUGCAAGUUUUGUUUCAUGGUCUCUCAACUCUUGUUCUAACAUAGAUUUGAACAUAAAAAACCUUUAAAAUAACUUAUGAAAUUGAAAUUAUUUGCAACUUGAGAAUAAAGAUUUUUUCAAGAACUUACUAUUAAGAUUAAUUAACCAGAAAUAAAUAUUUUCUACUUGCUGCAAAAAAUCCGGUAACACCUACACUAUAGCAAAUUCUUGGGGAUAUCCCAGACUCUUUUUCGUUCAUUUGUUUCUAUGAACAUAAUUAACAAAGUCACUUGCAUUGAGUGCAUAUUUUCACCAAAAGUUGAUCCAAUUUGCAAUAAAGUCUAUUUGCAAAUUUUAUGUUCAAAACAAAUAUAGCCACUUGAAUCAGGUCAACCCAUUUUCAUUGUCGUUAGUCUACAUCACCAUUGAUCUUCUCAUGCAUUUGGACCAUAUUGACUUAGUUCAAGGCAGAAAAACUGGAUCAUACAUAGAGCAUAAGAACAAGUGAGAACUGCUGUCAACAUUAAGAGGAUUGAAUUAUGCAGAUGUAAGCACAAGAAUAAGAAAGUUUUCACACACCCCAGGCCAGGAAGGUGCCAAGAUAGCAUCAUCAAGUUGGGGAUGCAGCACUUCUCAGAAUGGUGACUUCUAAGAACGAUGACUUCUAAGAUUUUUGUUCAAGAUAAAUCCCUGACAACCUAAUCCUUUGACAGACAUCUGAUUGGUAUGCCAUUAUGGUACAAUCUGAAGUGUCUAAAGAGUGGGCUACAAGUGUUUAGGGUGCCAAGACAUACAUCUCCCUAAGCCACAGCUAGUAGGGAAUAAAUAAGUGAAUCACAAAAAACUGAGACGUAGUAAACUGAAUUCUUAAGGUACAAGCUUGAACCCGCAAACACCGUGUUACCCAAUGCGUGCUGAUGUACUUUGGCCUUUAUGGUACAAUGUUAACACCUGCUGCCGGCGGUACUGAGCAAGAAUUACGACCUGAUCGUAAGUGGCCUAGCGGCCUCGGGCUUCCUCGUCAGAAUGAGGUGAUCUGUAGAAGUUGCUGAGUUCGCUGGGACACGGGGAGAGGGUAUCAGCCUCCAACAAUUGAACCACUCGAUCCAUUGUAGGGCGCUCUUCCGGCAAAGCAUUAAUACACAUCACAGCAAUCUGCAGAACAGACUCCAGCUGAUCCUUUGGAGCUCCAUCUAUGAUCCUCGGGUCAAAAAUCUCAAACUGCAUAUUCUCCUUGAUGCAGAGCGUAACCUGGAAAUGCAGAGAAGACCGAUGGUUAAGACUUGUUUAUCGAGUCCUGAUCCCAUGUUAUACCAAAUACUUCAGUUACAUGAGAUCAGAGUAAAAUACUCCGUGCACCAAUUAUUCAACAGCUUCAAUGCUCUGCCUGAAAACUAAGCAGCAAAGCUGACUAAAUCCAACUUUCACUUGAUUGAUAUCUAUAUCGAGACGCGUUUGGCAACGAUGAGGAUUUCUUAGAACACAAUCGACGUGUAACAAAGUCAUGCACCGAACUCUUACCCAACCAACUAGGUUCAAGCCUUCCGCAAUGAGAGAAGGAUCACUGGGGCGUCGGCCACUUAAAAGCUCCAACAAUACGACACCAUAGCUGUACACGUCCCCUUUCUCAGUGGCGCGCCCAGUAUGCAUAUAUUCUGCAUGACAGACAACCUAGUAUAAGAUUACAGUCACUCGGGUUCCUAAACAAUAACAGACAUCGAAUACUUCUUGCUUACAAACUCCCAUUUACUGACCGUGAGCUAACAAGAACAAGCAGAAUCACGACCAUGACCAUCAGCAAGCAAUCGAACUCUUCUGGGCGUUCAGAUUGUCGACCAGAACGUAAGUUGUAUUCUCAACAUUGUUAGUAUUAGGAAAAUACCUGGUGCAAGGUAGCCAAAGGUACCAGCAACAAUAGUAGUCACAUGAGAGGCUUUGUCUUCCAACAGCUUGGCCAAGCCAAAGUCAGACACAUGAGGAUCUAAAUUUUCAUCCAAUAGAAUAUUGCUUGAUUUGAUGUCGCGGUGGAUUAUGCGAGGGCUGCAGUCAUGAUGCAAGUAAGCAAGCCCUCGGGCAGCCCCAAUGGCGAUCUUCAAACGCGCUGCCCAGUUUAGCAACACCUCUUGCGGCUCUCUAUCUGCCGAAUACGAAUCAGCAAGCUGUGGGUUAGUCACCAAAAAUGGACUGACGUGAAGUUCACUAUUUUCAAUCGGUCAGCUUAAACGCAAGAAAGUGCAACAGAUUCUUGUUCAUGUGAAAAUGUGUGGCAAUGUAGUCAUUAUAGCUAAUCGAGAUAACUACUUAAUACUAAUUUAUUUAAAAAUCAAGUAGCUAAUUUCAAUUCAAAAGCAUAUAUGACGCUCUUCCCAAUCCAAGUUCUUGAAGCCUCUUAACAUUGCAGAACUGAAAAUUAAAGCGAACUCAGAAGUCGGACACAGACCGUGAAGAAACUCUUCCAGGUUUCCGCAGGGCAAGUAGUCGUAUAUCAGAAGCUUGGCAGUUGGAGAGUUGCAGUAGCCACGUAGGUUGACGAGAUUUCGGUGCUUAAAACUACCCAAAAUUUCCAGCUCCCUUUCGAAGACGCGAUCAGACGAUAAUCCAAAUACUCCAAUCCGUUUUACUGCGUAAAUUUUGCCAUCAUCCAUAACCAAGCGAUACACCGUGCCAAACCCACCAGAGCCUAUCAUGUCCCUUUCAUCAAGCAGGUCCAUUUUCUUUAUGAUAUUCAAAGUCGUGUAGGGCAGAUCGCCAUGGAAAUUUACCACCUUAGCUCCAUGGUAUGCUGCAUGAUGAGACCAACAUGUUAUUUUUAAAAAUUUGGAAUAUGGAGAUACAAAGAAUGACGAAACAAACUCGACUCAAGGACAACUACUCGGUAAUCCCUCUAAAUGUUUCUUAAAAUGCACCAUUGUCAGUAUCAACAAGGGUUCAAACUUCCAGCUUCAGAUAUUUAACAUCACAUACAUUGAGAUAAAUUCUACAGAAUGUUACAGCACGGCAUUAGAUCGCACCUUCUACACCUUUGACUUUUCCCAGAACUUGCUUCUGUUUUCCAUAUUUAUUAUGUAAGAACCAACCCCAGAAGCACAUUAGAGCAAUUAAUAAGGCAAUGCAUACAGUACUCAUUGCACUUAUCAAAAGUGCAUUGGAGUACCCGUGCUUCUGAGAUGUUAUAGUAGGCUCUACAGUAGAUCCCCCUGCAGCUGCACAAAUCACGUGUUAUUAUGAAAGAAGUUGAAUCUGUGCACGUAAUUAAUGCAGGUAACUAAUUCAAUUCCUAAAAAAAUUAAUCUGUCUCUCGAUUGUGUUAUGAAAACAUUUAGACAUUCAGACUUCUCUGUACCUCUUUCCAUAUACUGAGGUUGCCUUAGAUCAAUCCAACAACUCCUUAUCAAUCAUACCUCAUGUAUUUAGAUGUAAUGUAUAUAGCAUUUUUCAGCUUCACACCCGUCAUAACACAUAAAGUAUAAGCAGUACUAUUCAGUAGAACCUGAGGCUAUAGCAGGAGACGGAGCAGGACUGUUUCCAUCUCCAAAAGGUAGAGGCUCAGAGUACGGUGGUGCGCUUGCUGGAGUUGGUUUCCAUGGUGCGGGGGCGGGUGCUGGAGAGAUACCCUGACAAAUUAUCUUCACUUGUGAACCGCAAAGGCCUGGGUUCUCUAGGAACCUGCAAGACACAUUGACUCGUUCAAUUUCACUGCAUGCACAACAAAAUUUUAAAAAAUUAGCACAUCCUCCAAAAUAACUUCUGAAAGGAUAGGCACUCACGACUGGGAAGUGAAGUUUUUUAAGACCCCAUUUGUUGGAAUAUCGCCCGAGAGAAAAUUAGAGGAAACGUUUCUGCACAGAAAAUCCAGAGCCGUUAACAUUUUAAAAUACCUGACUACAGAGCAGAGAAGUAAAUUGACCUCAGUAUACUGAUGUUCCACACCUCAACGAUCCCACACCUUUCGACACGACAUCAAUAUGAAAGAGAAUGAGGUUCCAAAGACAUUGCAUGUACAGAGAAGACUUGAAGACUUACAAAAAGGUGAGCCUGAAUAGCGAUCCAAUAGAACUAGGAAUGCUACCCGUUAGUCCAUUACUUGACAAGUCCCUGCAAAAUAUUCCCAAUUUUAUUCCUUUGACCUCAAAAUUUUCGCUGCCUUGUAAACAAAUCCUUAGCAAUACAGAUGCAAUGAAGAGCAGGCACCGAAGGUUUGUGUGGCGGACUGAACGAGGAUACUUACAACACUGCAAGGAGCCUGAGAUUCCCUAGCUCUGUUGGUAUACUCCCAGUGAGAAAAUUCCCCCGCAGAUACCUGCAGAUGUGUAAAAGCUACUAAUGUCAACAAGAAGAAAAAUGCAAUAGUCUAACCUCAUCUUUUCUCCAAUGAUUUGUGAACUUACAAUUGUCGUAAUGAUGUGCAGUUGCCAAGCUCUUUUGGAAUGGGUCCGUAAAGUUUAUUUGAAUGUAGGCUCCUGCAGCACACAGAUUGAAGGAAAUUGUGGUUAAGACAUGGGCAAAAUGAAAGCCUUUAACUCAACUUCAGCCACCUGACAAAGGGUUCAACAGAGGCAAAAAUAACCGCUACAUGUAUGAACUUUCUUGACACCAGUCGCAAAAUAUAGUAUGACUUACGAGAUUUACAUUGAAACUCUAGACUCUACAAAGAAUUCGUGAACCAUCCUAGGAGAAAAAGACGGGUUCUGAAUAGAGGUCAUACAGUCUACUGAGUUGGUCGAGCUUGCCGAUUUCCGGUGAUAUAGGUCCUCGCAACUGUUUGAACGGGAGUACCCUGUCAAAUGAGAUGAUGAUAAGUUCAGCAAGAAUCCACAAACUUAUUUUUCAAAAAAAUAACUUUCAGUAAUUGAUACGUUCCCACAUUCCGCACAGCGACUGUGCGUUACUAGCAAGCUUACUGCUUUUUCUAAUUAUUAGUACUUAACAAACGUGUCAGUUACAGAGACAUGAGGUUGUGACAGGUUUGCUACUUACAACAUCUGCACGCGGCUAGUAUUUAGCAGGCACCUUACUCCGACCCAUCUGCAAGGAUCCGCAUCCGAUUCGUUCCAGUUGGCAAGGCGAUUAUCGGGAUCGAUUAGAAGUUCUUUGAGCGACAUCAAAGCCAAGCCUGGACACACGUGUAACCAUAAUCAGUAUUCCUUAGCACGCAUACUCCAAAUGUCAUCAACAUUGUUAUAAAUCAAGUGCAACUCACUUCCCUGUCACCAAGGAGUAUCCUACUAUUGUGAUGCAAUUAUGAGAGCUGGAAAACAUGUAAAAAAAUCCUCACUGAUGUGUCAAACCACCCUUCUUCACUGAAUGGUUUUCUAUUCAAGACGAACGAAAAUACAAAAAACCACGUUUCCCCGGACAUUCGUAUUUGGAAAAUUAAAAAAUUUGUGGAUCCAGCUCACCAUCAGGUGUCAAUGCUAAGGUUGAGGAUGCCAGAUUCAAGAUAAACACAAACAGGAAAAGUCUAUGAGAAAACACGUUUCUCAUUACAAUUGCACUCUGUGGAAUCUGGUGUAAGCUCUUCGCCUUCCCUCCCUCUCCAAAACUUAGGAUUAUACUUGAUUUCAACAUUGCAUGAUGAAGCCUGCCACACAGAAAACAAUCACACACGAGGAACAUUUUAACUAGAGAAAAGAUAUUAUUUGGAUAGCGGGUCCGAUCCUUAAAACAUCUCCACAAUAGCAGACAAUAGAUAGAAGCAAUCCAUAGAGACAGAGCUGAACAGAAGAAUAAAUGAAGCUUCACCAGAACACAGAUGGUAGUUCUGAUUCAUCUCACGUUUCAAUGGGCAGCUUUUCGGUGAAAUUGCAAUGGGUUGUCCUCUAGUGAAGCAGGCAUCAGUUCCACAAUCUUCCUUCCUUACAGAGGAGUAUUUCGAUCCCGAUUCGACGUCCUGCCUUUAAGGUGAUCGCCGCGUACGAGACAGAAGCGGUUGCAUUCGCCAGUGACCAGAGGGAUCUUCCAAUAAUUUCCGUAGUCUUUCUCCGCCUGAGAAGGAAUUAAAAAAAUAGAUCACGAAUUGAUUGUCCUUACUUCCACACCUGCUACCUGGAUGAAAUGCAGAGUGUAAAAUCGAAUUGGUGACUGCUUUGACUCUCUUCGUAGUCUCUGCUUAACACUCUGCGGUAAUGAUAUCCGUAGUAGAGGUAUAACACUUUGCUACUCUAUAAUCUGUCUAACGGUGAACAGAGCUUGCAAGAAACUAGGUAGGAGCAGCAAUUCUUUGGUGUGAGCAGGUACUCUCCGAAAAGAUAAAAAUGGAAUGCUAGGACAGCUUCUUUCAGAUGUUGAUUGAAUUCGAUAUGAUCAACUUAUUGUGAUGAUAAAAUAGCAAUAGACGCCUACGACUGCCCCCGAGCAGCAGCAGCAAACUCCCUCUCAGAUGCUAUUGAUGCAGCCCUGGAAAGUCUUGUCCCCAUCCGUGAUCACGAGUGUCAAGAUUAAAUGGCUCUAAAUGUUUUGGACAUAUGUCGUUAACCAUUGAUAGUGACAUUGGAACGGAGAAGGACGACAAACCCUGCUACGACACUAAGAGCGUCAACGUCUUCUCUGUUGUGUUAAAUGCUGAGGUACAAUGCUUUCUUGCAAGAGGCAUCACAGACUAAUCUUGCUAAGCUCAAAAAUCCCUCCGGCUGAAGGAAUGAAUGACAAUCAAGAGAAAAAGUUCGGAGAGAAAGACGAUACUACAAGGUCGCUAUUAUCGCCGUGAAUCUACCUUCUUCGCGAACGUAUCCAGUAAACAAAAAAUCUUGUGACCAACCGCGCGUAGCUACUGAAAUCGCAAAAUCCAAAAACCUCAUACAACAAAAGAGCCUGACAACCUCGACCACGCAGUAACGGAAAACACUACUACGUAUUACAUGUACUUCCCACCAACACUUCUCCGCAGUCGGAACGAGCUUGCGAUACAAUGGCAGGCCACUGCAGCUGAAGGGCAAUUCGGAUAUGUGCUACAUGAGAACUACGAAUCAAACAAAAAGGAUGAAGGAAAUAUAAAAUAAGAACGAACCCGUCGCAUUCAUCGCCACUCCAAGUCAAGGCAACUACAACCUCUGUCACAGUGUGUGAGCACCUCCCACAUGCACACAGAAUACCCGGCCUACACUGCGCGGCUUUUUAUCACCUCCAACUCUCUCCAUCUCUCUCUCGCUCCCUCCCACUCCAAUCCCUCUCCCUUUCCAGUCUCUCUGCUCGAUAACGCUUGAGCUGCUUACAUUCUAACGCCAUCAUGACCGCAUCGGAAAGAGAAUCCAAACGAUCCCGACAAAGGCAGGUAGCACACACCACAUCACCGUAGGCAGGACAAUCCACGGAGUAUGAGCAAAGAGAAAAGAGAGAGAUAGAAAGAGAAAUCGAAAUCGAGAGAGAGAGAGAUUAGUUGCAGCAGUCGGAGGCACACAUGGUAAUGGCCGCGGGCACUUGCUCUCCGAGUGUAGCAGCAUUAGCGCCACGGUAUGGAUUACGUUGAGCGCGAUGAUCGCCUGACCCCGCACCUGACACAAAAACCUGCAGAAACACAGUUGCAGCACACCAAUGUGCUCAGCUGCUGCUACUCCUGCUGUCCAAUCUUGCUUGAUUCCACAACGAAGCUCGCAGGGCUGCGCUAAGUUACUCCUCCUGCUUCUUCUUCAGCUUCUUCUGCUCCUACUGCGGCUGAUGUUUGCUUUGCUGCCUGGCGAUCGAUGAGCGGCAAGCUGCCGGAGGCUGCCGUAUUCUGUGGAGGUACACGGUGAUGCAAUUGUCUGCGACCGAGGGACGGAGAGUGGACGUGCGAGAAGAAGGAGGACGAGGAUGGACGGAGAAGCUUCAACGGACGAUGGACCCCAGUCUCCUCCUCCGUCUUCUCCCCUCGUUUCAUUGAACGGAAAUAAAAAUAUUUAUAAAUAGAUAUAGAUAUAACUCCAAGGCCAUGUCACGUCCCCCUGAUUCUCCCUCUCCCUUCGUGCAUCGCGUCCCCAGGCAUGGGGACUGUGCGUAAUUCCAGGAUGCAAACCCCGUUUGACUCCCUCUUUGCCCUUGCUUGCGAGUUGGAUGGAUGGAUGGGUGGAUGAUAUUAGGUUGCCUUGCUUUCCUUCUCCGUGCAGCAUAUGGAAUUUUGGUGUUGGUUUUUAAAGUAUUUAUUCCGACCAUAGUGUUUUGAAAGCUUGGAAUUAGUCUUGAAUCUAAUUCUUUUUUUUGAACUGGCAAUUUCAGGGUGAAAAUUUGCAUGUUUAUGAGUAUGUCUACAUACGAAAAAGACCAGGAAGAUAAAGGACCCAAUUUUGUACCUCUUAUUAUUCUUUUUAAAUAUAAAAUUACAUAUAUCCUUGUAGACAAACAGCAACACUGCACCAUUUCAACCUUCCAACGCUCACUGGAAUUUUUCAAUUGAAUAAUGGACAUCGAAUCUUGAUUGAACACCAGUGUUUGCUUUUUUACAUACGAAACUAUACCUCUAUUUUUGCAACAUUGGACAAUAAAUAUAGCAACUGGAUAGGGAAAUCAAUAUCACAAAAUACAACAGUAUAUCCAUUCAACUUUCUGGGUUAAGACAGGCCUUGGUUAAGGAAUUUUCUCUUGGAUCUUGAGCUACGCUUGACUCACACUGUUCUAAUCAAAAGUAUAUUAAUAAACCCUAUUUUAAGCUUAAUUCCCUCCCCAGCUCCCAAACAUUUAAUAAGUCCUAUUUCAAUCAAAUCUCUCACACUUUGACACAAAAAGGUCCCAAAAGCUCAUGAACGAUCGCUGCUCACGCCAUGAUUGAAGCCAUCUCACCACGAGCCAGCCACAAGAAUCUUUCAAAAAAAGAAAAAAAAAAGAAGCAGGGUUUACUCUACCAAAAAAUUAAAUCGAAACCAAGAGACGGAUUUUUGUCAACGGUGUCCUUUGUGUGUCGUGAGGAGACCAAUAGAGCGGCGAAGCAACUCCAUCGGACACCGAGUUAGAGUCCAAGUAGGCAGACGGGAGUGACAAAGUGGACAACGGCCACCUGGAUCUCCACGUGGAUCCGCCACGAUCACUGGCACGUGUAUCUCUCCCGCCACGGAGAAAGGCUAAAGGAGUGGUAUCUAUAUAAGGGGGGGCUCUGCAACGAUCAUGUGAUGCUUUCCCGCGUGUCCGUGCUGGAUUCCCGGACAAAUUUAAAUUCACCAGGUAUGGCGUUGGCGUCAGAUUAGCGGAGGUGGCACUAAAUUUGGCUGGGCUCUAUCAUUUCGCAAGGCCGUUCUUGCUGAAGCCACUCAGACAGAGCACAUCAAAAAGGCAAAAAAACCCACACGACAAAUUACGGUGACCCUGCUGGUAAUUAGUAAGUGGGGUAACCUCGAUUGCAACUAAUUACAACUAAUUAAAAUUAAAGUGCAAGUUCCUUGAAAUUUGAAACUUCUUCUCUAUGUCAAUGUUUAGUCUAAAAGAUAAAUUCACAACAUAAAGAUAAAUAAUAAGAACCCAAACGUGUUUGUUAUAAACACCAACUACUGGUAUUUAUUAUUACGAUAAAUAGAUAAAUAAAUGUGUAUAUAUAUAUAUAUAUAUAUAUAUGUGUGUGUGUGUGUGUGUGUGUGUGUGUUUCAUUAAGGAUUUGAAUUUUUUUGGUUACAUGAAUAUUACAUCUACUUAAUAAAUAUUAAGCCAGAAAAAGAAAAACUAAGUAUGAAGGAGGUGUUAAAAGUCAAAAUGACUCAUAAAAUUAUUGCUUUCAGUUACAUGGAGAUCCAAAGAACAAGUUUUUCAAAUUAUAUAAACACAAUUAUAAAUGGAGAAUAUUUUAAAAUGUAAAGGCUAAUAUGAAUUGGAUAUGUUUAUUCAACAAAAAAGACAUUAAAAUUAUCAUACUGAGUGGUAUAACAAACAUAUUAAAGCUUUUUUUGUUUCUUCUUAAAUAUUCUGGAAAGUUAUUUAUUCUAAGCAUAGGUCAUUCCUUUCAAGGUCACAAACCAAGAAUCAAAAGCAUUUUAUAUUAAAACAUCAUUUCUUGUUUUAAAAAAAAAUUUGUGUGACUAAAGCUAUAGAGACUAAGGAGUAAAGAGCCACCAAGCAAAAAUAAAAAUUUGUUAUGGGAAUAAGCACCUCUAUUGCUUCAAGGGUUCAAACCUUAGACCUCAUAUAACUUGUUGGAUUACUCAACCAAGCGCACCAACCUCUCUAAUCGGUGUCAAUUAUUGCCAAUUUUGCACUAUUUGUACUAAAAUAGAUUUUUGCUUGGUUUCCGGCCCAAGCGCAAUAUGCAAACAAUUCUAUAGGCAAAUCCCUUAGUAAAUGGUUGUGGAUGCAAUCUUGUAGUGCAAUAUUCAUCUAUAGUGCCAAUGUAGAAUAUGCCCUAUGGUGGUGAGCAACCAUAGGGUUGAAACCAUAAAAAGAAGAUGAUCCAAAAUUAAUGUAAUUCACACAUGAAAGUUGAAUUUCAAGGUUGAGUAAGGAUGGGUUGUGUGGUUGAGCUAAAAAUGGGUUUAAAAAUAAAUUUUGAGUACUUGUAGACUUGAAUGGAUGAUUUUAAUAGAUCUAUGGAAUUAGAUAUUUUGGAGUUUUUUAAUGAGUAUUUAUUAGUAGUAGACACUUCUACAGAUUAAAUGCUUUGAAUUAGCACUAAUUUAUCUACUUUCUAGAUAAGCUUUUUUGGUCUAGCUUAAUUUUUACUCUCAAUGUUCCUAUGGAGAAUGGGUAUAUAUCUAUAUAUAUACAUAUUCCCAAAUUUUCAAGGUAUUUUGAGGAUGAAAGUAAUGAACAUGUUUUUCAAAGUUUUAUUUUUCUUUUUCUGUUUCUUUUUUAAAAAAUAAAUAAAUUUAAAGAUAUGCUUAGGAAUGUGCUGUAAUCAUUUAUUUAUUUUUAAUCCUCAACACUCACAAUGGAUUUGAAGUUUUGUAACUUUUGUUCUAAAUUGAUAACCACCUUUAGAACACAGAAUCAACAUUAGGUUUAUAAAAGAAGAAAACAAUUUUUAAAUCUGGAACGGCACUAUUAUGUAAUAUCUGAUUUACUGCCACCAAUUUAUAGUGACAUGUAUCUGGUGCAAUGCUACAAAUAUAAGAAGUUUCUUCAAGAAUUUACGAAUACGUACAAAAAAUUGAACUACACCUUAAGAUUUUUUAUUUUAUUUUAUUUUAUUAUAAAUACAUUAAAUGUGAUUAAGGUAAAGGUGUGGCACAACAUGGUUCUCUAUUGGAUGACAAACUUUUACAAUGUGACUAAUUUAAUGGUCUUUUGACACAUGAAGCAUUAAUAUCAUUAAUAUUUCAACCUAUUUAAUAAAACAUUCUUCCGGAAGACAAGGAAUACCAAUAAAUUGGCCAAAUUGUACUUUUAUUUAAUAAAAAAAUGUACUAUUAUUUAUUAUUUAAAAGCAUGUAAAAACAUAAUUUGCCUAGGGUGGGUUUAAUACCAACCAUAAACAGAUAUAACCAUACAAGUUACAUUAAAGAUAAAAUAUUCAUAAUAAGAUUUUUGACAGUAUUUUGUACGACUAUUCUCACAAGAAUGCUAUAUAUAUAUAUAUAUAUAUAUAUAUAGGCAUUACAAAAUAUUAAUUUAUUUCAAAAUUUAACAACAAUAAGUUCCAUGUGGAGGAGACCCACAACACAAAACAACACACAGCAAAAGAGCCACAAUAUGCAGACAAGCACAGAAGGGCAAAGUGAGUAAUAGCUGCAUAUAAUAAUAUACAUUAAAGAAAAAAAGCCCAAGUCAUUCAUUAAGUAACAGAUAUUUUAACAUAAAAUAUUAAAUUUGUUAGAUAGGAAGUUUGAGUGGGCCUUGAUUCUCACCAUAAUGCCUUAAGAGUCUUUUUAUUUAUGUUGUAACGGAUAAUAUUCAUGUAAUCAUUCUGACAUAUGUGAAUGGUAUUGAUUUUAUUAUUAUGAUCAUGAUUAUGAUUAUUUGUUUUGUGAUUUUUAUUAAAAGGAAGUUUUAAGAAAAGUCAAUGUUUGUGUCAGAAUAGGUGUGAUUGCUUUCAUUGUUUCUUCUGGGGUGCAUAGAAAAGUGAGAGAUUUGGUUUUAAUUAAUUUUGUAAAUAUGUAAAACAAAAUUCUAUCAGAGGAUUCAAUUAUGAAGCUGAGCAGUUUGGUGGAAUGAAAUCACUAUGAUGGGCUUUUUUGUGUUCUUUCACAGAGUUCUGUAGAAAAGGGAUACAAACAACAAAUAACAAACAAACAAACCACAAAAAAACAAAACUACUGUCUCUCUCUCUCUCUCUCUCUCUCUCUCCCAUGUUUCACUAUGUUCAUUACAUUGAGUGGGAGAUACAAUCACAACCUAAAACUCCCUCUGACACUGAGUUUUGGGCUAUUCACUCAUUCAUUUGACCAUUCAUGAUGAUAAUUAUGACGAUGAUGAUGUUAUAUAUAUAUAUAUAUAUAUAUAUAGUUUUUAUUUAUUUGCACAAGGCCAUCAGGCUACUAUCUUUUACUGUACCAGGGUCUCUAUACCAUUUAAAUGAAGGGACUUUCUUGUGUGAUGAAAAAUACAUUGAAAAUCCUGAUCAAGAUAAGUCUGCCUCGGAGUUAAUAAAUUUAUUUAUUUUUCAUACAAAAAAUAAUACAAGGGAAGUGGUUUAUUUUUAAACUUCUUUCUUCCACCGAAGAAAACACUAUCAAAAUCACGCAAUGAAUUAAGUUCCCCUCUCUCAUUUCUCGCUGUAUCGACCACUUGAUGGACACACAUGGUUUCUGGUUUUUAAUUCAAGUGAGAAAACAGGCCCACGUCAAAGCCAUGCUGCUGGAGUCAAGUAUAACUACAAUAAUAGAUAUUAUUAUCACCACAUAAGCUUUCGUUUUUUAAAAUUUACUUUCAAAAGAGAGUUUGAAACCUGGUUUGGGGUAACAUUGCAAACCAAUCACUUUUAAUGUUUCAUGUCAAUUUCACUAUUAUAUAUUUAUAUUUACAUCAAUCAGGUGAUCAAUCCACAAAGGCAAGGGACUGAGACUGGCCAUGAAACCCAGACUCUGUCUGUCUGUCUGUUUGUCUGAGUAACUGACGGACUGACUGAGUUUAUUUAUUUGCAGAGCCAGGGCAGUUAAAACUAAAGGAGAGGGUUCAUUUAUCACCGACGUCAGCUGCGUCUCCUAUUCCAUACCGGACAGACACAUAAAUGGGUCCAUUUUUAUUUUUGUUUUUGUUUUUCUUCUAUUUUUUUUUUCAUGUAUGAUGAUGUGCUCAAAUUUGAUUUUUAUCUGUAUUUUGUAUAUUUAUUUGAAUAUAAUGAUUGAGUCUUUUUACUUUUAUUGUCAUUCUUUUAUGUUUUUUGUUGGUUGGUUGGGUGAUGCUAUGCUGCAUUGAUCACUAGUUGUUUGGUAUUGUGGACACCAGAUUUGCCUGUAAAAUAACUGGCAUCUGCAUGCAGCUCAUGGAAUUGCCAGCUCUCAUGUUUGCAUGUGCUGUGAUUGUGCUGGAUAUAUAUAUAUAUAUAUGUAUUAUCUGAUUUAACCCGUUUUAUUUUUUAAUUAUUCAUAAUUAAAUAAUGUGUAAAAGUUAGAUAGUUGUUUAACUGCCACCUGUUGUUUGUUAAGGUUAUUCCUAUCCCAGUGUUUUUGGUUUAUUAUUUUUAUUAUGUGAUUAUCAAUUUUUCACCAUUUUUUAUAGGUAAAAGCUACAAGACAUUUGAACUUCAAAUAUUAUUGAGAAGGAAUCACAAAAAUUGGAAAAUUGUAUUUAAAGUGUACCGUGAAAUUUCUCCUUGCUAAUUUACCAAAAUGAGACUAUUGAAAUGAAUGUUAACAUUUUGAUAAAAAUAAAUAGAAAUAAAGAUCUGAAUGUUUAUACAUAUGUCUAUUGCUUGGUAUGGAGCAAUAUUUUAUGAAAUUGGCAUAAGAGAUAAUAUUAUAGUAAACUUUCAAAUUUUAUGCAUGAUAGUAUGCAGAGGAAAUCCUAUUGGUUCUAAAAAUCCCUCAAUAUGGCAACUCUUUCAACAAAGCUCAAGAAUGGCAACCUUAGAACAAAUAUAUUUUAUAUUUAUAGCUUAGGGCAAGCUUGCUUAGGUUCUAAGUUUGAAAUAUGUUUAACAAACAACUGAGAAAUAGAAUGAAUGUCAACUGACACAAAUUGGUGAGUGUACAUGAGUUGCAAACCUAGUUUUUGCUAUAUUUUGAAAGAUUUGGAACAAGGAUUGUGCUAUUUAGUAGAAAUAACAAUUAAUACUUGAAUUCUAUGCUUACAUAGCUAAUAUUUCAAAAGUAUAUAUAUAUAUAUAUAUAUAUAUAUAUAUAUACAUAUAUACAUACAUACAUUAUGUUUUAUACCACAUGGUUGCCGCUAUCAAUAUACCCAAGUGAAAGAGAAGAAAGAAAAUGUGAGAGAGUGGGGCAAGAAUAUGGAUGAUCAAUGUAAUGGACAAAGCAUCACAUUGACUUCAUGGGACCAGGCGGAGAUUGAGAUACGCACACAGAUGGGAGGGAGAGCAUCAGGUAGGAUUUUACAGAAAGGGGGUCCACAUCAGCAGGUGAAGCACUUGGAUACUCGCAUACAAACACACACAACACAACACAAGUAUACAAAAACAAUACAAUAUCAAAGCAAAACAAAGCAUCACACAUGAACCUCUCAUUGGGUAUGAUGUUGCUCUGCCUUUGCAAAGAGCAGCAGCAGCAGGGUGUGAAAAAAGUUCUGCAGUAGCUGAUGUGGCAUAUGGGCUGCUGCUGAUGUGGCAUAUGGGCUGCUGCUGAUGUGGCAUAUGGGCUGCUGACAUAUUCAUGCUACAGCUGAGCCAGGCAGGCAUAAGCUGGUGGCUGCCUAUUCUCACAUUUCGGCCUCCUUAUCCUGAUAAUGUUGAUCAUUCUGUGCACGAAUAAGGUGAGACAUUACUUUUUUCUUUUUUCAUGUAUAAUAAAGUACAUGGAUCUCUUUUUUUUCUUUUUCUUUUUCUUUUUUUUCUUUUUUUUUUUCCAGCCUUUUGACACAAGAAAUUUAGGUUAGAAUUCAAAGUUUAACAUUGUAGCCAUAUGGACAUGAAAAUAUUAACCAUGUAUUGUCAAUGUUUGUUAGACAUGACCUAAGGUGUAUCCAAUUUCCUACUAGAAACAAUACAUUUUUAAUGCUUUUUUGUUUUUAUUUUUUGCAAAUUCUGGAGUACAGUAGAUUGAAAAAUUACUAGCAUCUAAAAGUUGAACUGUCAAAGUACUUGGGUAUAAAAUAAGACCACACAUUAAACAAAGAGCCAACCAAAAGUUAGAUACCAUUGAAUUAACAUUGCAUUAUAUGUAAAUACUCAUUUAAUUUAUUUCAAAUCAUAAAUAAAUAUAAUUUUGGUAUUUUUCUUGGAACUGAUUUUCAUCACAACUAAUUGCAAGUAGCCUUAAUUGCAAUCAAGUAACCCAUACAAAUAGGCACAUUGUACCAUGCUAAAACUCUUAUAUGAAUUAAAGGCAUUCAACAGUCAACAUCAGAAAUUUAUUUAUUUAUUAACUACCAAAACAUGAACCCUGAAUAAAAAGUGCGGUUUAAAAAGUAAUUGUGUAAAAUGACCAUGAAUAUGUUUGAUGUUUACUAAAUACAGAACAGUUGAUAAUAACUUAAUUUUCAGAAGGAUGGAAAAUUUGUAACUUAUCAUUAAUUCUUUAAUGAAUACAAAGAAAUAAUCCAUUUCUAAUUCAACCAUAGGAAUGAAAUUUGAUGUCCUUGAAUAUAGACCAAGCAAUGACAAAACAACAACCUUAACUAAACUCAAUGUAUCAUGAGUAUGAGUAAAAUUUCUUUAUUUUUGACAACACUUCUUGCAACUCCUGAAUCCUUUAUUGUUAUUAUUUUUUGGUCUGCUGGACAAUACUUUCAUGAUAUAUAAAAGAAGAAGAAGAAGUUGAAACAGAUUUUUUUUUUUUUUUUUUUUUUUUUUUUGGGGGGAUUCACAUCACAAUGUUAUUAUGACAAAAAGGGGGGGUCUAAACAAGACAGAAUAUGGAUGGAAUUAUGUGGAGUGUCUGAGGUGCUCACUUGGGCUACUCAUAAUACUCACUCACUUUCUUACUUAUACCCACCCCACAGUGACUCACUCCCAUGACCCAGUGUAUUUGAUCAUCACCCAUGGCUGGCCCCAUUGUGAAGAACAUUUUGUCAAUCAUCAAUAGUGAGGUCAGAGGCCCAUUCUGAGGCCCCAAAACACACAGCUGAAGAGAAGAUUAUGCACUCCCUCCAAAGCACACACACUCACUCACUCACUCACUUACACAUACAAACACACACAUACAACUGGGUGGUACCCAUCAGGGAGAAUCAGCACAGAGAAUCCACAACUAUUGCAAUGGCAUAGCAUAACAGCAACGGUACUCCUUCACUCCCAGCUCAUUCCUCCUCCACUUUGCAAGUCAGCACUCAAAAAUUGCACCCCCCCCCUCAAGCCCUAAUACUAAUACUACUGAGUGGGUGUCAGUGUCAUCCAAAACCCUAAUUUUUCACUUGGUGGGAGAAUCCAUGAACAAUCCAAAACCCUAUUUUAUUUUUUGCUUUCAGGGGCUUUGGAGCAAAUCCCUAAACCCCAACAAUUGUAAUGUGGAGUGGAUGUUUGAGCCAUUUCAAAACCCUGAUCUUCAAGUGGGUCUUCUCUGUUUUUGGUUUGUUGGGGGUGGGGGGGGGGUCUGAGUGGCAUUGGAAUCAUUGAAGCCCUUCUUCUCUGCAAUGUGGAGCUUCAGUGCAGGGAGCCUUGCAGUGGAGCAUUAUUAGGGUUAGGUGUGUGGCAGAACAUCAAAACAAAAACAAAUGAAAACAAAAAAAAGUAAAAAGUAGAAGUAAAAGUACCUUGUCGUUCAGUGGAGGGGAAGUACUGAAGGAGGGAGAGCCACAGAGCAGUUACCCAUUCUUCACAACUGGACCCAAAAAGCAAGUCCUCCCCUUGCGACACAUGGACCCAUACAGCUGGCAGUGGAUGAUUGGUGCCAGCCUGGCAAAUCCUGGAACGUGCAUUCCUCCCCCAAUUGGAUUGCUCAGCUGAAGACCCUGUAAUACCCGCCUUGGUGGAGUGAACGGGUAUCUCAUUGGUCUCACUGUGAAGGAAAUUGGUGAUUAGGGUUUUGGUGUGUUUUGAAAUGGGUGCCUCACAAUCUUUCCUCCCACCAUGUUGAGAAUAUUAAAAAGGGCUCAUAUUCAUCAUAUUUUGUAGCUCCUUUGAUUGUUGAGAUUAAUCACAUUCUUCUUCUUAAAGAACGUGAUUAGAUGUGCAUGAAGAGGUGCAUCAAGUGUUGUCUACCUUAAAUGAAAAUGGAUCACCUACCACCACAACUUUGCUUUGCAUAGAGAUAAGAUCUACAGUCUCUCCACUACUGUCAAGAACUUUUUUGGAAAAACAAUGCAUGGCUUUGUAUCGUUUUUGCUUGAUAACAAUUUGUGAUAGAAAUGUUUUUCAUUCAUUUUCAAUUCAUUCAUUGUUGUUGGUGCACCUGUUAUUUUUUUACUUUUUUUUGUUUUUUUAUAAUUGUUUUUACAUAAAUUAUAAUUAACAAAGUAAUCUGUAGGUUUGGCAUUGCAGAUAAUUCACAAGAUAUUUUGUUUACUCCAGUUUUAAACAUGCAUUACACUCUUUAACUUCUCUCUUGCUGACACAAGCUACAUUAAAAACACAUACCAAGUAAGUGCAAAAUUGUUGCUUCAUUACUUGUGGUUGGAAUUGGCAAUGUCAUUGAGGGGAACACUAACAACUCAAAUUUAAUUGAUCCUUGAAGUAUUGUUGCUCUUGAUAAUAGCAAUGGAUGGGAGCUUUUGUUGGUUUGUUUUGUUUUGUUUUGUUUUUGUUUUUAUUUUUUAAAUUGUCUUUACAAUGACCAUUGCAUACUGCAAAUCAUCUUUCCUUACAUUGUUGGUUUAGGGUUUAGCCUUGACAUGUAUCAUAGUAUAAACGCUUCAUUUUGUCUCUCUAAACAAAAGUUAAAUCAUGUCUCUUUUCCAAUUAUGAUUCAUAUUUAGAAAAAAAUGUCUUUUAGCAAAAUUCCUCCUUGUUUUGCAAGAAGACUCUCCCCUCAUACUCCAAUCACACCAAAACAUAACUUCAAAGUUUUGCUAAUUCCAAAGGAUUUACCCACAUCAACACUCAAGGAAGUUUUCUAAUCUUCUACCCCACACACACCCAUUUUUCACUCUCACUUUGAUUCUAUUUCAAUCUCAUUGUCUAAUUUUUAAUUCCAAUCCUGCUUAGCCUUUGCAUAGGUUCUUUCUUUGAAAGUAAAAUAUUCUUCUUCCUUCCUCUACAUUUUUUAAAAAUAAAAAUAAAUCUGGAUAUUAUUCAUUUCUACUAUUAUUAUUUUUCACGAUAGAGCAUAGAAUUACCUUAAAGAUCCUGUCAAAUCCUGUAAAUAUGUUUUUGAUAUUAGAGCAUUGCCACCAAUGCAAAUGGCCAAUGGGUGGAUGUUGCCACAAUACACUGUUGGGAAAAGUGUCCAUUUUGUGAGGGACAAGUUCCAAAACUUGUAUUCUUCAAUCUUUUUAGUUAUUAGUUUUAAUUUUUAUUAAUUUAAAUAUUAUGUAUUGUAUUUUAUUAUUGAAAAGAA
RNAcentral lists this long non-coding RNA (35369 nucleotides) under Physcomitrium patens. RNAcentral's name for it is "long non-coding RNA (PPAT_LNC002932)". The record is from RNAcentral. Lineage: Eukaryota; Viridiplantae; Streptophyta; Bryopsida; Funariales; Funariaceae.